Bos indicus x Bos taurus (hybrid cattle) is the source of this 1286-nucleotide long non-coding RNA. NCBI's taxonomy places the organism in Eukaryota, Metazoa, Chordata, Mammalia, Artiodactyla, Bovidae. The record is from Ensembl.
CCAGAGGGCAAGCGAGAGACUUCUUUUUGAGUGAAGACCUCUCGAGGCUGUUGUCUUCUGGAUCAAGGGCCAUAUCCAUUCAUGAUCUCAACAAGAGCCGGCAAAGGGGGUCCAUGGCCCGGAGCUAGCAGUCGAGGAGUGGGCUGUGACCUGGUUGAUGGGGGUUCCGGGAGCCCUGGAGCUACGUGACAAGCAGAUCACCAGCCCCUGAGAGGGGCCGCCCCUGGCCCGGCCUGUUGUUCUGGCUAUUCAGGGAACACCCCUGAGUGGCGGGGUCCCUGUGGGGGUCUCAGCGGGCAGAGGAGGGACACUUGUGAAUGCACACAGGAGGCAGGUCCCGGCGACUGGAGGAGGAGGACGUUCCAGCCCAUCCAGCUUCUCUCUGGAGCUUGGCAGAGCCUGGUGGUAGAACCACAUGGAAUCCGCGACUCCUGCCUGCUCUGAGAGUUGUGCUCACCAUUCCGGCUGGACACACACGCUCCACUUUUCCUGUCACUGGACUGGGAUGUUCAGAGGGCCGGGGGGGCUCAAGUGUUGACAGUUACACCUUCACCAGGUAGUCAUCCACAUGGGUGGGACUAGGAAGAGCAGAGGAGGGAAAGGGGAAGCAAGGGUGGAGGGAGGGCCACUCUUCGGACAGGCCCCGAGGGUGGGCCUUCAUGUGGAGACAGCACCUGCCUUCCCUUGACGCCCUGGGGCACAGGUGGCUCAGGACUCGGAAGGCCAGAUAAGGGAUGCCUCCUGGAGGCCUGUUGACCUCAUCCCCUGCUCCCACAAUCCCACUCCCAUGAUGAUAGAUGUGAAAGCGGAGUCCCAGAGAGGGGUAGUGAGUGACUCAAGGCCACACAAUGUCCUGCUCCUCGUCUGAGUGUAUUGCCCUGUGUCCUCCAGGCUCUGAUCUGCUCUAGCUCUCAGGCACUGUGAGGCACCUUCUGUCCCCCAGGGGUCCCCCGCAGGCCCUAGGCUGGGCCGUCUGCAGUGUCACAGCCUGGGGCCUGAAGACCUGCCCUCAGCCACCCUCUUCACAGGGAAGAAGAUUCAUGAGGCAGGUGAGUUACUUUAAAGGAACCUGCAGUCUUUUAUCACCUUGAUGGCUACAGUGGAUUUUGUUUCAGGGAAUAUCUGUAAGACUUUAAUUAAAUCAGGAACUCAGGCCCCGCCAGCUUCCCUGCUGCUUAUCAGCUUCUUAAGGCUGUGAUUCAUUACCCAGGAUUAUUUUUUUCAUCCCUGAAAUAAUCUUUAAAGGCCUUCUAUCAGGAAGAUUAAAGCUAUAAGUCAUACAUGCA